CAUACCAAUAUACACAAAAAGACCUAUAUCAUUGGAGCAGGGUGUUGGAACCUAGGCUGAACAGUUACUGAUCUUUUAAGUGAAAAAUAAGCUACUUCAGAUUUGACAGUUCUCCACUGUAUGUAAAGAAGAUCACCUGAUAUUAAAGUUGUUCCUGCUUUUAAAAUGCCAAAUAAAGCCCAAGAGGAUGCUGUGAUUAACCUGAAAUCAGUUCAAGAACUAGGCAAACAACUGGGCUUUGAAUGGACAAUUGUUGCUAAUGAACUCGGGUUCAGCAGAGCGGAAAUAAGUCAAUUCCACACAACUAGUCCUCAGAAGAAGGCUCAAGCGAGAAAGAUGCUGGAAUGCUGGUAUGAACGAUCUCAGAAUGAGGUGAACAAAACAAAGCUUCUUAGAAAUGCUCUGGAACGAGCUGGAAGGAGAGACCUGGCAGAUAAGCUCCACUGCCUCCACUGGGGCCAUCAGAAGUUAAGUAAAAGAGUGGAGCUCCCAUCAGCUUUCCCCUUUAUCAUUAUUAUACACAAAACUAUCAAUAACAAAGAAGGGCUGAAAAAGAUUAAUGAACUUAGUUGAAAUUAUUAACUAAAUACAUACGGAUAAUGUGAAAUGUAGUUGUCUUGGUUUUAAAUGACUCAAACUCACCACUCUAAAAAUAAUGUUAGUAUCAAGGAAAAUGCAUCCAUAUCAUUCCAUUACAAAAUCACUUGGCUUGCUUACUUCCAUGUAAUAAUCUAAUAUUUCAAUCAAAAUAAGCCAGGAAUGAUCUAGACAUUGAGUUGCCCCCCCAUCUAAUAUUUCAAUCCCCAGGAAUGAUCUAGACAUUGAGUUGCCCCCCCCCCAUCUAAUAUUUCAAUCCCCAGGAAUGAUCUAGACAUUGAGUUGCCCCCCCCCCCAUCUAAUAUUUCAAUCCCCAGGAAUGAUCUAGACAUUGAGUUGCCCCCCCCCCAUCUAAUAUUUCAAUCCCCAGGAAUGAUCUAGACAUUGAGUUGUUUUGUUUCAAUUACUGUCAGAGAGAUCAGAGGGAAUAUUUUACAAUAUAGUUUUUUUACACAGAAUUUACAAAUUUAAUUGAUUUUACAGUAUAGUUUUCAUAUUUAAUUAGUAAAAGGGACUGCUAUAGCCAGAUCCUGGUUUCUUAUUAUAAUCAAAUCCAAUAGAUCGUUGCAGAUAUCAGACCAUAAAUAUCUAGUAUCAACCUCAUUUCAGAGGUGUGCAUGCUCUGCUCAUAGAAGUUAUAUGUGCCCACAUAUGACUCUGUCUAGGUUCAAUGAGUAGAUGCCAACAGUCUCUUCCAUUGACUCUUUUCCAAAAGAGAGUUUGAUUUCUGCCAGGAGGGAAAGCAGGAGGUUGAAGCUGGCCGUUCUAAUCUCCUCAGAGAAAAGGUACUCAGCUAGAAUUCUAUCUAGCUGUCUCCCCUACUAUUAUUAAACUAGGGGAAAUCAUUUUUAGAUUCAAGCUGCACUCCUAAUGCUAUCCCCCUUAAUGGGGAAGGAGUGCCCCCAUGCUAUAUGUAUAGACAAGGCUUGACUCCCCAUAAAAUGCCAGUUUUACAAGGAACACAAGUAGAGAAUAGCAAAUAAACCCAUUUUCAAACAUAGCAAACAGAAAUCAGAGAAAGUAUAUGGAUGAAAAUAUGCCAGACAGUACACAGAGUGAACCAAUUCUACUGGGAGCAAAUUAAUUCAGCUCAACCUAGAGAAUAUCCCAGAUCUUAGGCAAGGAGAAAUUUCUUAAAAAUCUCUAGCUGGAGAGGAGGGCUCCUUUCCAUAGUGGUGUCUUCUCAAAGACUCUCCUUCAAGGAUCUUUCCCUGAAGAGAAUCUAAAACUGCUUGGCUUCCCUCUUAGAGCUUUAAGCAAAAACAAAAUCUCUCUCCUCUCUCUGCCUCUUGUCGACAUCAUAUCCUUCUCCCCUGCGCAGAAAACCCGGUAAUCGGGCUCCGUCCACGAGGAGAGUCUUAUGCCAAUGGGCAUUGACUGAGCUGAGGGUUACAGAUGGGCCUGCAGGGAAUAUGUGUAGCCAAGAUACACCUGGCCUUCUUAUCCAGCUGUCUUCACAGGGCUUGCCCUCCUGUCCACAGCAUCUCUCCAUGGCUUCUGAGAAGAACGCUGCAGAACUGCUGGAAAAACGACCACCUUUCUAGUAAAAGUCGCCGUGCCCAGCUGACCAGAGACAGGCAGAGUGCUUCCAGGCUCAGGUUCAGUGAUGUCUUCAUGCCCAGGAUAAAGACAAUGGUUCUUCCUAACUAUUUAAUUUAGGGCUAGACAUUCUAUCAAUUCUUUCUGUUUUAGCAUGCCCAUGGAAUGAAGCCAGAACAUAAAGUAAACUAAGGAGGUGCUUUCCAUUCAUUCAGCCCAAUUCCUGCCUUUGUUAUAAAUGUCCUGCAGGAACAAAACCCCCUUGCUUUGAUGCUGUUAUUUUAGCCAGAGAAAAACUCCACGAACCCCUACAUUAAUAAUGAUGACGAUGACGGUGAUCAUAUCAUGCUUUAAGGUUUACAAUGCAGUUUCCUCACUAGGAAAUGAAAGUUUCCGAGACAUUAAGUGAUUUGCUCAUUUUUUAUAACGAGUGCUAGAGUGAAUACACAUCUGUCUUUAAGAAUAUUAUUCUAGGGGUAGGUCAGUGAAUUGAGUGCCAGGCCUAGAGAUGGGAGUCUUGUAUUUAAAUCUGGCCUCAGACUUUCCAGCUGUGUGACCCUGGGCAAGUCACUUGACCCCCAUUGCCUAGCCCUUACCACUCUUCUGCCUUGGAGCCAAUACACAGUAUUGACUCCAAGAUGGAAGGUGAGGGUUAAAAAAAAAAAGAAUAUUAUUCUAUUAUACUGUGUAAAUGUGAAUUAUAUGGAGAAACUUUGGGGGGGGGGAAUCCAACUUUAAGAUGUAUUUUCUUAUGAAGACGUGAGAGGCAAAAUGUCAUAGUGGCUAGAGAACUGGCUGCAUGAGUCUGGACAAGCCUUUCCAUGUACUAGCCAGCUCUCUAAGACUAUUAUUAUAGGUUGCAAUAAAGGUCCCGGUUUAUAUUGAGAGAGGGCGUCUUCUCAUCCUAUACCAAUAAAAUCACAAGUCCAGUCCCUAUACUUAUCUCUUUCUUUAUAUUAGAGAAAGAACACGGAGCCCUCCAGCCAGGAAGACUUGAAUGCUCCUGACUGGUUCGUUUUGUCUCUGGACAGCCUGGAAAGUGGGUUGGUGUGCUCUCUCAAUCAGAAAUUCUAUUGAACUUUGAGGAACAGGUAGGUGGUGAAGUGGACAGAGUAGCCCCAGAGUGAAGAGGACCUGAGUGCAAAUUUGACCUUAUACACUUAACUAGCUACAUGAGCCUGGGCAAGUCACUGACUCCAUUUGCCUCAGUUUUCUUGUCUGUAAAAUGAGUUGGAAAAGGAAAUGGCAAACAACUCCAGUAUCUCUGCCAAGAAAAUCCCAAAUAGGGAUUGAACAUGACUAAUUGAGUAAACAAUUGGACUUCUAGAUAGGGCUUCUCUUAAUUGGAACUCUAUUAAAUUUUAUGAUUGGUGGUGGGAUGGAGCUGCUUUCUGGCUCAAAGUUCACAUUCCACAAAUCCUGACUUCCUCUAACUCUACAACUUUCUUUUGAUGGUCCCUUUGGGUAAGAUCAAUAAUUAUUUGUCUAAUGAAUCAGCUAAUCUACUAAUCAGAGAAAGGCCUUUUUGGUUCUUAAGGUAGGGAACAGGACCUUACUGCCAAAUUAAUACCUCAUUCUCUAUUAUUAUAUACUAAGAUUACAAAUUCUGAGCUGGGAGUGGGGGUGGGGUGGGAGGGUUUGGGGUAGGGAGAGAAAAUAACUAAAUUCUUCCUUUCUCAAGAAAUUUUCCUCAGUUUCUCCUCCCAAAAUUUAAAUCUCUGUCCUUCUUUACAAAUACAAACCAACACCUCCUCAAUGUCUACACCAUUUCCUCCUGAUUUUUUUAUUCAGCUCAAGUUGUCUCUUCUCUUCUUUCCCACAAAAGCUAAAAGUAGAGUAGUAAUUCCAGGCUGUCAACAGGUUGUUAGCUCUUCUUCCCAAUUUUGUGUCAUUUGCAAAUAUGAUAAACACAACCCAAUUAUCAACAAGUAUUUAUUAAGAUCCUACCAUGUGCACAAAGAAAAAGCAAAAAUUGUCCCUUGUGACAAAAAGCUUACAUUCGAAUUGAGGAGACACACAUGAAUUAUACACACACACACCCAUAUUAAUAUAUAGAUGAACAUACAACAUAUACACAAAGUAGACUUUAAAAGAAAGGAAGGACUGCUGAAGGCAUGAAAAGUUUUUUCUUUAUUAAAAUUUUUAUUUUAAUAACAAAUUUCCACAUAAAUUUUCCACAAUUAUAUGAUCCAUAUUGUCUCCUUCCCUUCUUCCCUCUCCACUCCCAGAGCUGACAAGCAAUUCAUUCUGGGCUAUCCAUAUAUUAUCACGCAAAAUAUAUUUCCAUCUUACUCAUUUUUGUAAGCAAAUAAUCUUAUAGAACCCCCCCCCCCUCCAAAUAUACCUAAAUAAACAAGUGAUGAGUCAUGUUUUCCUCUGCAUUCCUAUUCCAACAGUUCUUUCUCUGGAGGUGGAUAGCGUUCUUUUUCUUAAGUCCUCAGAAUUGUCCUGGAUCAUUGCAUUGCUGCUAGUAGCCAAGUCUAACACUUUAUAUAUCGUCACACAAUAUUGCAGUUCCUGUGUAUAAUGCUCUCCUGCUUCUGCUUAUUUCACUCUGUAUCAGUUCAUGGAGGUCUUUCCAGUUCUUUCUAAAAUCAUCCUGUUCAUCAUUUCUUACAGCACAAUAGUAUUCCAUCACCACCGUAUACCACAAUUUGUUCAGCCAUUCCCCAAUUGAGGGACAUUUUAGUUUCCAAUUCUUUGCCACCAUAAAAAGUGCAGCUACAAAUAUUUUUGUACAGACAGUCCUUUCCCAUGACUUUUUUUUUUCUUUUUGGGAUAAGAUCUAGUAGUGGUUUUACUGGAUCAAAGGGUAUGCAUUAUUUUAAAGCCUUUUGGGCACAAUUCCAAAUUGCCCUCCAGAAGGGUUGGAUCCAUUCACAACUCCAACAAAAAUGUAUUAGUAGAUACAGAAAUUUUGAAAGAAGCCAAGGAUUCUAAAAGGUGGACAAGAAGGCAGGGAAACCAUUCCAAACAUAAAGGCAGGCAGGGCAAAGGCACCAACGUGGGAGACAGAGGACUAUUUGUGAGGAAUAACAAAUAGGCCAGGGUGCCUGAACUACAGCAUGUAUGGAAAAGAGUCAUGUAUAAGAGGAACAGAAAAAAUAAGGGUCUAUUUUUAAAGAGAUUUAAAAGCAAAAUAGUGGUGCUUAUAUUUGAUACUAAAGACAACAGAGAACCACAGGGGUUUACAGAGUAAUAGAGUCUUGUCUUAAGGAAAAUUACUUUGCAGCACUGUGGAGUACCAAAUGGAGUGGGGAAAGAUUUGAAGCAAAGAAUGUUAGAAGGAUUAUUAAAAUGGCACAGAUAAGAGGUGAUGAGGCCCUAGAUGAAAGCAGGGGUUGAGUGUUAUUACCUGUAAAUAAAUUCUGUGAAAAAUUUGAAGCUUCACAGUUUGCCUAUAGUUUUUGUCCCCAGUUCUGGAACCAUGAUCAAAUAAACUCGGACAUGCCAUUUUAUGAAACAUCCAAAUUUACCCUUGUCCCGUGUGAACUUGCCUUCAAGAAACUCCCAGACUACCCAUGAAGUAUCUUGGAUAAGAGUAAUAGAAAUGCUUAAGGCUUAAGUACCCUUUUUGAUUCCUUGGUUUCUCUCUUUGUAUUUAGCACUUACUUAGAUACUUAAGCCUCUUACCCAAGCCCCUAUGUAACUGGUCAGUUGUCCUUAUUUUCCUACAUUUGCCAAAGUAUAUAUAAGACUCCAAAUUCUUUAGGUGGAUGGAAAUUCCAAUGAUGAAGAUUUCCAUUCAAGAUGCAUUUUCCCAGAGACAUUGUUCCCAGAGUCUCAGAGCCUAGCUUGGUAUGGUGGUACUGUUUGUGUGCGCAUGACUCGGUGUGAGGGUCAUAAAAACUCUUUCUCCCUUGUCCUAAUUAAAGACUUGUUCUUUUUAACUACUUCAGUUGUUCUGUGUUUUUUCCAGGUUGGUUGACAACUCUAUCACAGAUUCUAGAUAGAUUGUCAUUCUACAUUAUCCCCCACCCUAGUCUUACUUAUCUUCCCAGUAAUAUUCUGAAGCAAAGUGACCCGUCUUGGUCAUCACUACCUGACUGUUUUCUCCCCUAUUUUAGGAAGCAGGUUUCUUGAGGGCA
Molecule: long non-coding RNA, 6224 nt
Organism: Monodelphis domestica (gray short-tailed opossum)
Lineage: Eukaryota; Metazoa; Chordata; Mammalia; Didelphimorphia; Didelphidae
Source: RefSeq, a predicted model, not a curated record